CUGGUUUCUUGUAUUUGUCACUCCUCGUUCCCUACCAUGAUUAUGCUUUGUUUUGCUUUGCCUUGUAAACCUUAUGCUUCGCCUUGAAUUGGAGUACCUGCAGUGAUUUUUGUUGGAGAUGGUUAGCAGUGAAGCAUCAGAGGGUGGACAGGCAGGUGAGCAGAACAGAAGCAAAGGUAAAGACUGCUGAAGGAUGGCUGAUGGAAGAGCGGCAGUGAGAGAAGGAUCCAGGUAGAUGUUCUCCAGAUGCUAGGAGCCAGGAAGUGGAUCACUGGAGUCCAAAACCCAAGCAUCAACAAAGGGAUCUAGUUUCUGUCAGGAGAGACAAGGGUGGUUACAGUUAAAGCUUCAAGGAGCAAGGAACACAGAGAUGAGAGACUGAUUACCAUGUAUGUGAGCUCCUCCUUAAGCUGCUGAUGAGCCUUAAUGAGUGGCAGCUGCAGAGUCUGCACCCGCCAGUAAAUAUUAGGGAAUCUGAUUAACCUGAAAUGAAAAUCAGUUCUCCUGGUAGGAUUUUCUUGACAUUUUCUUAUUAGUGCCCUUAAGAGGCAUCAGAGUUUGCAAACAGUUUUCAAAGGAUCAAAAUGAUCUCAUUGUACAAAGUAUCAGUAUAGAAAAAUGGACAAAAAACCUACUGUACCAAGUUGUUCUUCAUUUGGAGAAAAUAUUGGACAAUUCUACAAAACCGAUGAAUAGAUGAGAUUGAAACUGGUCAGAAAGCUCCGAAGAAGCCAACAGGAAUAUUGGCAGUGCUUCAGGAAUUUCUGAGAAGGAAUGGUUGGGUUUACAGUGUGACAUUUUGGUUUCAGUACAUGUCUGGACCAAGGUUUGACAGACAGAAUAUUUUUCUUCCAAACAAACAUCUAGACCUGUCUCAGAUCUCCAAAAAUAUUGUAGGAAAUGUGAGAUGUGUCAUGGUUUGACGAGGCCAAAGAAACUUUCGGGCCACGAUCGACAAGGUAUGCUUGACGCAAAAAGAAGAAAACACGUCACCAAAAGAACAUCAUAUCCACAGUUGUGUGUAAAACAUUGCAUCACAACAUUUUUGUGUAUAAGUAGGCGUCGUACAUGAGGCCCCUGUUGAGGAUGGUUCCCAGAUUCUGUCUUAAGCAGUGUUUAUUUUUAAAGUUGUUUUUAUUUUGUAUUUUAUCUUUUAAUGGUGUUGAACCUAUUUUACAUUGGCUAGCUGGGAUCUAAGGGUUAAACCAAUUAUAUGAUACUUAUGUUUUUAAUUGAAAUAAAUUAUUUAUUUUAACCUUG
This is a long non-coding RNA of Girardinichthys multiradiatus, 1260 nucleotides long. RefSeq lists it as uncharacterized. The transcript has 2 exons. NCBI's taxonomy places the organism in Eukaryota, Metazoa, Chordata, Actinopteri, Cyprinodontiformes, Goodeidae. The record is from RefSeq and is a predicted model, not a curated record.